This 824-nucleotide long non-coding RNA is filed under the name Triticum aestivum (bread wheat). RNAcentral's name for it is "long non-coding RNA (TAES_LNC023180)". The record is from RNAcentral. Lineage: Eukaryota; Viridiplantae; Streptophyta; Magnoliopsida; Poales; Poaceae.
CAGCUCUGCGACAAGCACUGUAACAAUAAGCAUAUUUAUGCAACGAUAAAAAUCAGCAAGCAGUUUCGUCUUGCCGCCCUUCUCGUCAGGGUGGGUGAGGGGGCUUGUAAUGUGUCCUAGCCUCCGCCGAGCCAGCUGCAUCAUCCUACCGAGGAGCCGCCGCGCCUGGCAGAGAAAGGCCGCCCAACGCCAUGGAAGGGGACACUUCAGUUCUCUUUAUUUCCAGUUUAUAGUACUGGUCCUGCAAGUCACAUCAGGUCAAUCUAUUUUAUCAAGAAACCAAAUAUUGUUACUCGGAGAAAGACAUUAGUGUAGCUUUGAUAGCAAUGACAACAUACCAUGAUUCCACCAGGGUCAACGGCUGAUAAUUAUGUGAUUGUUGUAUUUGUUGCCUAGCGAUGACCCUGUGAGCCGGUGCUUAUCUCAAUUUGAUGGGAUCUUGCAGUAGAUCUGAGAUAUUGUGAAAUUUGUCAACACAGAUGCUGGAUUAUUGAAAAUUAGUUGCACAGAUGGAUCAUUUGUGCUGUGUGUACCUUCCUAGAAUAGCUGCCGCUUCAGAAAUAGUUGGAUUUAUGUACCAUCGAGUUGCCAGACAGGACUUGAAGGCCAAGUUUCCUGUACAAAAAAUUUAACAGGUAAUUUUAAUUUCUUAUCUAAAUUGUGCAGGAUGGAUAUAAGAAGACGAUAAGUACAUACAUUAAAUUCAUGUACUGGCAUGCCAACAAAUAGAACUAUAAUGGGUUCUUGAGCAGACCACCGUUGUAGCUUUGUCUGCAUCAAGGGCAUCUGCUAAUUUUCCCCAAAACGUCACAACGGCAGGCAUU